UGGGGAAUAUUGCACAAUGGGCGCAAGCCUGAUGCAGCCAUGCCGCGUGUGUGAAGAAGGCCUUCGGGUUGUAAAGCACUUUCAGCGGGGAGGAAGGCGAUGAGGUUAAUAACCUUGGCAAUUGACGUUACCGACAGAAGAAGCACCGGCUAACUCCGUGCCAGCAGCCGCGGUAAUACGGAGGGUGCAAGCGUUAAUCGGAAUUACUGGGCGUAAAGCGCACGCAGGCGGUUGAUUGAGUCAGAUGUGAAAUCCCCGGGCUUAACCCGGGAAUUGCAUCUGAUACUGGUCAGCUAGAGUCUUGUAGAGGGGGGUAGAAUUCCAUGUGUAGCGGUGAAAUGCGUAGAGAUGUGGAGGAAUACCGGUGGCGAAGGCGGCCCCCUGGACGAAGACUGACGCUCAGGUGCGAAAGCGUGGGGAGCAAACAGG
RNAcentral lists this ribosomal RNA (429 nucleotides) under Chloroflexota bacterium. RNAcentral describes it as "Chloroflexi bacterium partial 16S ribosomal RNA". It matches the Rfam family "Bacterial small subunit ribosomal RNA", at positions 355 to 776 of the family's 1533-position model. The record is from RNAcentral. Lineage: Bacteria; Bacillati; Chloroflexota.